GGGUUGUAGCCCAUAUGGAAAAGAAUUAGGCUGGGAGGGAGAGGGGUUAGGUUUUUUCUUUGGCAUUUGGGGGCUGAGUGAAAUUGGGGGUGAGAAGACAAGAGAAAGGAGAAGCAGGAAAGGAAAGUGCGAAGGUGAGAAGAUGGAGAGGAACGAACGGCUUCUCCUUCGUUUCGCAGCGGAAACAACGCCGGAACUGCUCCGAUUAGGGUCUGUGAUGAUGCCUUAUUUUGCGUCUUCGUCAUUCUCCUUCCCUAACGAUGGUUUUGUGUCAUGAAGAGUGAUUCUGAACCGAGAAAAUGAUGAAAUCCCCACUCUGGUACCCUUUCUUCUCUUUCGGCGAGAGUGGAUGCAUACACCAACAGAGGAUGCUAUGGUUUAGCGGAUUGCCUUGGUUAUAAAAGUCGGGAUAAAGCAGCGGUAUCGACGAUAACAAAAGGGAUUUGGAAUAAUGUUGGAUUGAGUGUUGAUUUGCCUUA
This is a non-coding RNA of Lupinus albus (white lupine), 479 nucleotides long. The record is from the annotation of a GenBank genome assembly. Lineage: Eukaryota; Viridiplantae; Streptophyta; Magnoliopsida; Fabales; Fabaceae.